UGCUGUGAAAUCCCGAGGCUCAACCUCGGGCUUGCAGUGGGUACGGGCAGACUAGAGUGCGGUAGGGGAGAUUGGAAUUCCUGGUGUAGCGGUGGAAUGCGCAGAUAUCAGGAGGAACACCGAUGGCGAAGGCAGAUCUCUGGGCCGUAACUGACGCUGAGGAGCGAAAGCGUGGGGAGCGAACAGGAUUAGAUACCCUGGUAGUCCACGCCGUAAACGUUGGGCGCUAGAUGUAGGGACCUUUCCACGGUUUCUGUGUCGUAGCUAACGCAUUAAGCGCCCCGCCUGGGGAGUACGGCCGCAAGGCUAAAACUCAAAGGAAUUGACGGGGGCCCGCACAAGCGGCGGAGCAUGCGGAUUAAUUCGAUGCAACGCGAAGAACCUUACCAAGGCUUGACAUACACCGGAAACGGCCAGAGAUGGUCGCCCCCUUGUGGUCGGUGUACAGGUGGUGCAUGGUUGUCGUCAGCUCGUGUCGUGAGAUGUUGGGUUAAGUCCCGCAACGAGCGCAACCCUCGUUCUAUGUUGCCAGCGCGUUAUGGCGGGGACUCAUAGGAGACUGCCGGGGUCAACUCGGAGGAAGGUGGGGAUGACGUCAAAUCAUCAUGCCCCUUAUGUCUUGGGCUUCACGCAUGCUACAAUGGCCGGUACAAAGGGCUGCGAUACCGUAAGGUGGAGCGAAUCCCAAAAAGCCGGUCUCAGUUCGGAUUGAGGUCUGCAACUCGACCUCAUGAAGUCGGAGUCGCUAGUAAUCGCAGAUCAGCAACGCUGCGGUGAAUACGUUCCCGGGCCUUGUACACACCGCCCGUCAAGU
Molecule: ribosomal RNA, 814 nt
Filed under: Curtobacterium sp. 104.19
Lineage: Bacteria; Bacillati; Actinomycetota; Actinomycetes; Micrococcales; Microbacteriaceae
Description: bacterial SSU rRNA
Rfam family: Bacterial small subunit ribosomal RNA
Source: RNAcentral